RNAcentral lists this unclassified non-coding RNA (254 nucleotides) under uncultured delta proteobacterium. RNAcentral describes it as "contains 16S-23S intergenic spacer region". It matches the Rfam family "Bacterial small subunit ribosomal RNA", at positions 524 to 776 of the family's 1533-position model. The record is from RNAcentral. Lineage: Bacteria; Deltaproteobacteria.
UACGAAGGGUGCAAACGUUGCUCGGAAUCACUGGGCGUAAAGGGUGCGUAGGCGGCCUGUUAAGUCGGAUGUGAAAGCCCUCAGCUCAACUGAGGAAUUGCAUUCGAUACUGGCAGGCUUGAGUGCGAUAGAGGAAAGCGGAAUUCCUGGUGUAGCGGUGAAAUGCGUUGAUAUCAGGAGGAACACCUGUGGCGAAGGCGGCUUUCUGGGUCGUAACUGACGCUGAGGCACGAAAGCGUUGGGUAGCAAACGGG